Molecule: long non-coding RNA, 1349 nt
Filed under: Heterocephalus glaber (naked mole-rat)
Lineage: Eukaryota; Metazoa; Chordata; Mammalia; Rodentia; Bathyergidae
Description: lncRNA (ENSHGLG00000040554.1)
Source: RNAcentral
UAUUUGAUCAAGUUAUUUUUGCUCAAAACAUUUCUGUGCACCCAGAUUUAUGUAGAUUAUUCUAAUAUACCAGUGUGUUCACUGAAAGAAUUUUUCUCUAUAGUAUUUUUUGAGGGGUGAGGGAUAGUGCUAGGGAUCAAACCCCAGGCUUCAUUCCUGCCAGCCAAGCACCCUACAACUGGAAUGACAUUCCCAACUCUUUGAAAUACAGCACUGUUUUUUGUGGAGCAAAAUGUCUUGGAUACAAAAAUGUAGCCUUUUCUCAACAUUACCAUAUUAAGUCUGCAAAGCUACUGACACAGAGAAGGAAAAUAGAAUAACUGUUGGAAACAAUUUCAAUGGAUUUCAGGCCUCCAGCCAUUAGUUCUUUAUGCCAGUGGACAGUGGCACAAAUCUUGGUGAUAAAGUGCUGUGUUAGAUAUUUAGAAGAAAGGGAGGCGGUAGGUACUUUUAGAAACUGCUCAUAACAGUUGCUAAGUAAAUAUUUUUAUUAAUUGCAAAACUGAUUUUGCACUGUGCUAACAUAAUUUCAUUGAGUGUAAUGUUUUAGUUGAUUUAGAUUUAGACAGUAAAGCAAAUUAGCUUCUAGUUCUGUGUGUACAACCAGGAAAAAUGAAAGUAAAUCAGGCAAUUUUUUAGUGUCACUGACCACUCUUGUUUCCUGCAAAAUGAUGAAGAAUGUGUAAGCUAUUGUUUCUUAAAUUUUACAUGAUUGCAGGAUGAUUUUAUUUUAUUUUGCUGUGUUGCUUAGGCUGCCCUCCCGAUUCCUGGAAUCAAGUGAUCUUCCUUCUUCAUGCUCCCAAGUAGCUUGUACCACAGGGUUUCAUCUCUGGAUCUGGUUCCUGAAACUUCUUUGAGCUGAAAAUCGGGAUUGUUUGCUGUUUCCUCCCACCCUAACUACCCCUCCACCGUUGACUGUCUCUGGCCAGACAGAGUUUCAGCCUGUAUCGAUAGCACAUCCAUCUGUGAUCUCAAAUGUGGAUCUCAAAAACAACAGCAGCAGCAAAGGGGCCUGGAAAAGCUGGCUACCACAUUCACCUCCCCUCCAAAACGAUGUCCUUUUCUAAAACCAGCUUGCUGAAAGCUCCCCGUGUCAGCUGUUUGAGCCCUGUACAAUCAGCUCUAUACAAUGCAGGGGAGGCAGCAGGCUCUACUGAUUCACUAAACCACUCUGGAAAUUUGUAUAAUGCUGGCUGGCCCCUAACUCACUGGCGUUAGCAUUUUAGCUCAGGCCAUUAACUUUGCUUUUGUAUCUGGAUCUACUUGGAUUCUUGCCUCUUUCCAACCACAUUAAUUAUCUCAGCUUUCAUCAGGACUCUCCUUGGCUUGUUCCCAUUUUUAAUAAAGGC